ACCUCAUUCUACUGACCAUAGAAGAACUACAGACCUCAACCACCGAAUUAUCCUCACAGAUCAAGACUACCGAAUCCCAAUUGACCUCAACUACACCAGAAGAAGAGUUAGUUGCAACCAAAGAAAGGAUCGACAAACAGCUACUGGAAUACAAAAAAUACGCAGAGCAAGGGAAAAGACAGAAAUUUAUACGGGACGCCGAAGACUACAGACUAGACAGGGUCUAUCGUUGGAAGGGAAACCAGCAACAACAGUUCUAUCGAGGAUACAGACAUCAACACUACUCUGGCUCUUCGGACAGCGACAGAUCCGGGCACUACGAAGCGCGUUUUUUAGGCAACGCCCCAAGGAGGGGCAAAUCAAGAAGAGGAGGACCAGGAGGGGCGGGAGGAAAUCAAGAAGGACGCAUCCAGACUCGUUCCCAGACGCACUGAAAUUGUCCACAGCGGGUUACCUUUGUGAAAUUCGAUCCACUAACCUCUUGGAUCCAGUAUGCUGCGUCCAUGUGACUCAUGUGUAUCUAUUCCUGUGUAUCUUUAUGUCUGGAUGAUGCUGCUCAGGGAACUGUAUAGUCUUUUUCUUGCUAUGCCACAAUAAUGUAUGCCAUACAUCUAUGAAUAUGUGAAUCCGUGAAUAAUGUCCA
Long non-coding RNA from Bufo bufo (common toad), 643 nucleotides. RefSeq lists it as uncharacterized. The transcript has 3 exons. Lineage: Eukaryota; Metazoa; Chordata; Amphibia; Anura; Bufonidae. The record is from RefSeq and is a predicted model, not a curated record.